This 253-nucleotide ribosomal RNA is filed under the name uncultured bacterium. RNAcentral's name for it is "partial 16S ribosomal RNA". It matches the Rfam family "Bacterial small subunit ribosomal RNA", at positions 524 to 776 of the family's 1533-position model. The record is from RNAcentral.
GACGAACCGAGCAAACGUUGUUCGGAAUCACUGGGCUUAAAGGGCGCGUAGGCGGGUCAGCAAGUCCGGGGUGAAAUCUUUCGGCUUAACCGGAAAAGUGCCUUGGAUACUGCUGAUCUGGAGGGAGGUAGGGGCAGCUGGAACUUCCGGUGGAGCGGUGAAAUGUGUUGAUAUCGGAAGGAACUCCGGUGGCGAAAGCGGUGUACUGGGGCUGGUCUGACGCUGAGGCACGAAAGCCAGGGGAGCGAACGGG